Molecule: ribosomal RNA, 550 nt
Filed under: uncultured bacterium
Lineage: Bacteria
Description: bacterial SSU rRNA
Rfam family: Bacterial small subunit ribosomal RNA
Source: RNAcentral
UAGGGAAUCUUCGGCAAUGGACGGAAGUCUGACCGAGCAACGCCGCGUGAGUGAAGAAGGUUUUCGGAUCGUAAAGCUCUGUUGUAAGAGAAGAACGAGUGUGAGAGUGGAAAGUUCACACUGUGACGGUAUCUUACCAGAAAGGGACGGCUAACUACGUGCCAGCAGCCGCGGUAAUACGUAGGUCCCGAGCGUUGUCCGGAUUUAUUGGGCGUAAAGCGAGCGCAGGCGGUUAGAUAAGUCUGAAGUUAAAGGCUGUGGCUUAACCAUAGUACGCUUUGGAAACUGUUUAACUUGAGUGCAAGAGGGGAGAGUGGAAUUCCAUGUGUAGCGGUGAAAUGCGUAGAUAUAUGGAGGAACACCGGUGGCGAAAGCGGCUCUCUGGCUUGUAACUGACGCUGAGGCUCGAAAGCGUGGGGAGCAAACAGGAUUAGAUACCCUGGUAGUCCACGCCGUAAACGAUGAGUGCUAGGUGUUAGACCCUUUCCGGGGUUUAGUGNCGUAGCUAACGCGUUAAAUCGACCGCCUGGGGAGUACGGCCGCAAGGUUA